RNAcentral lists this ribosomal RNA (460 nucleotides) under uncultured bacterium. RNAcentral's name for it is "partial 16S ribosomal RNA". It matches the Rfam family "Bacterial small subunit ribosomal RNA", at positions 338 to 795 of the family's 1533-position model. The record is from RNAcentral.
CCUACGGGAGACAGCAGUGAGGAAUAUUGGUCAAUGGGCGUAAGCCUGAACCAGCCAAGUCGCGUGAGGGAUGAAGGUUCUAUGGAUCGUAAACCUCUUUUAUAAGGGAAUAAAGUGUGGGACGAGUCCUAUUUUGUAUGUACCUUAUGAAUAAGGAUCGGCUAACUCCGUGCCAGCAGCCGCGGUAAUACGGAGGAUCCGAGCGUUAUCCGGAUUUAUUGGGUUUAAAGGGUGCGUAGGCGGCCUUUUAAGUCAGCGGUGAAAGUCUGUGGCUCAACCAUAGAAUUGCCGUUGAAACUGGGGGGCUUGAGUAUGUUUGAGGCAGGUGGAAUGCGUGGUGUAGCGGUGAAAUGCGUAGAUAUCACGCAGAAUCCCGAUGGCGAAGGCAGCCUGCCAAGCGAUGACUGACGCUGAUGUACGAAAGCGUGGGGAUCAAACAGGAUUAGAUACCCGAGUAGUC